CUCAUUAUAUAAGUUAUCGUUUAUUUGAUAGUACCUUACUACUUGGAUAACCGUGGUAAUUCUAGAGCUAAUACAUGCUAAAAAUCCCGACUUCGGAAGGGAUGUAUUUAUUAGAUUAAAAACCAAUGCCCUUCGGGGCUCUUUGGUGAUUCAUGAUAACUUCUCGAAUCGCAUGGCCUUGCGCUGGCGAUGGUUCAUUCAAAUUUCUUCCCUAUCAACUUUCGAUGUUUGGGUAUUGGCCAAACAUGGUUGCAACGGGUAACGGAGGGUUAGGGCUCGACCCCGGAGAAGGAGCCUGAGAAACGGCUACUACAUCCAAGGAAGGCAGCAGGCGCGCAAAUUACCCAAUCCCGACUCGGGGAGGUAGUGACAAUAAAUACUGAUACAGGGCUCUUUAGGGUCUUGUAAUUGGAAUGAGUACAAUUUAAAUCCCUUAACGAGGAACAAUUGGAGGGCAAGUCUGGUGCCAGCAGCCGCGGUAAUUCCAGCUCCAAUAGCGUAUAUUAAAGUUGUUGUGGUUAAAAAGCUCGUAGUUGAACCUUGGGCCUGGCUGGCCGGUCCGCCUCACCGCGUGUACUGGUCCGGCCGGGUCUUUCCCUCUGUGGAACCCCAUGCCCUUCACUGGGCGUGGCGGGGAAACAGGACUUUUACUUUGAAAAAAUUAGAGUGCUCAAGGCAGGCCUAUGCUCGAAUACAUUAGCAUGGAAUAAUAAAAUAGGACGUGCGUUUCUAUUUUGUUGGUUUCUAGGAACGCCGUAAUGAUUAAUAGGGACAGUCGGGGGCAUCAGUAUUGCGUUGUCAGAGGUGAAAUUCUUGGAUUUACGCAAGACUAACUACUGCGAAAGCAUUUGCCAAGGAUGUUUUCAUUAAUCAGGAACGAAAGUUAGGGGAUCGAAGACGAUCAGAUACCGUCGUAGUCUUAACCAUAAACUAUGCCGACUAGGGAUCGGACGGUGUUAUUCUUUGACCCGUUCGGCACCUUACGAG
Molecule: ribosomal RNA, 987 nt
Filed under: Waltergamsia hennebertii
Lineage: Eukaryota; Fungi; Ascomycota; Sordariomycetes; Hypocreales; Bionectriaceae
Description: SSU rRNA
Rfam family: Eukaryotic small subunit ribosomal RNA
Source: RNAcentral